GUUCUCACUUUGGCAGCACAUGUACUAAAACUGAAAUGAUACAAAGAAGAUUAGCAUGGCUCCUGCAUAAGAAUGACAUGCAAAUUUGAGAAGGGUUCCCUAUUAAA
This is a small nuclear RNA of Ictidomys tridecemlineatus (thirteen-lined ground squirrel), 107 nucleotides long. Lineage: Eukaryota; Metazoa; Chordata; Mammalia; Rodentia; Sciuridae. The record is from Ensembl.